Molecule: ribosomal RNA, 291 nt
Filed under: Hemiselmis virescens
Lineage: Eukaryota; Cryptophyceae; Cryptomonadales; Hemiselmidaceae
Description: partial Eukaryotic large subunit ribosomal RNA
Rfam family: Eukaryotic large subunit ribosomal RNA
Source: RNAcentral
AAGAAACUAACCAGGAUUCCCUCAGUAACUGCGAGUGAAGCGGGAAAAGCUCAGACUGAAAAUCUUCGGAAUUGUAGUCUGGAGAAGUAUGGUCAGCCGAUAAUGAUGGGUAAAGUCUUCUGGAAAGGAGCGCCAUGGAGGGUGAUAGCCCCGUUCAUACCUAUUAUUAGAAGCGUACGACCUGCUUUCUACGAGUCGAGUUGUUUGGGACUGCAGCUCUAAGUGGGUGGUAAAUUCCAUCUAAAGCUAAAUAUUGGUGGGAGACCGAUAGCGAACAAGUACCGCGAGGGA